AUACAAAGGAAAAGAAACAGUGGAAACACAGAACAACCAAAAAACAGGAUAAAAUGGCAGUAUUAAGCCCUCAUAUGUCAAUAAUCAUCCUAAAUA
Non-coding RNA from Ceratotherium simum simum (southern white rhinoceros), 96 nucleotides. The record is from RefSeq and is a predicted model, not a curated record. NCBI's taxonomy places the organism in Eukaryota, Metazoa, Chordata, Mammalia, Perissodactyla, Rhinocerotidae.